GACCGAACCGAUUUAAUUUAAUAAUUUAGUUCGGUUUUAAAAUAAAAUCGGUUCGGUUCGGUUUUAAUUUUUAAAAAUUUCGGGUUGAUCGGUUCGGUUCGAUUUUGGAGUCAAAAUAAUUCGGUCGAACUGAACCGACCGAAUUUAAUUUUAAACGCAGCGUUUUAUUAUAGGGUUAUAUCAAUUCACUUCCCAUCCCUCGUCAUUCUUCACGCAGCGCAUACCUUCGCCUCUCUCAAACCAAAUCCCUAAUCUCCAUCCUUCACGUCUUCAUCUCUCUUCAUCUUCAUCUCUCUUCAUCUUCAUCUCUCUUCAGUCCCGUAGCCACAGCCACCCACCCCAGUCGCCAGUCUCACAGCCACCCACCGGCCACACACCCUGCCACCCACUCGCCAAAGCCAGUCUCUUCUCUCCAUCCUUUGCCGCUUCAGUCCCGCAGCCAAUUGAUUUUG
RNAcentral lists this long non-coding RNA (452 nucleotides) under Manihot esculenta (cassava). RNAcentral's name for it is "long non-coding RNA (MESC_LNC004798)". The record is from RNAcentral. Lineage: Eukaryota; Viridiplantae; Streptophyta; Magnoliopsida; Malpighiales; Euphorbiaceae.